Molecule: long non-coding RNA, 1654 nt
Organism: Bos taurus (domestic cattle)
Lineage: Eukaryota; Metazoa; Chordata; Mammalia; Artiodactyla; Bovidae
Source: Ensembl
GUGCACAAAAAAACCCUUAGUUUAAACCAGCCUAUAAGCAGAGAGUGUUGCCCACUAUAGUCUGUCUAUAAAAACUCUGUAACACCUUUGUUAGGGGCUCAGAGCUUGGAGGGUUAACUCCUCUGGGACGGCUGGUGUAAUAAACCUGUUUUCCAACUCUCUGAGUGUGGUGCUUGGAUUCUCGAUUACUGGUUUCUGCAACAUUUCUGGAGGCUCCAGCAAGAUUCCAACCACACCAGCCCCUUGAGCCGCCAGAAAGGUGGCUUGGCCAGGCUGAAGCAAAGGAAUCCUGAGAUGAAUGAGGAGGCGUGCCACCUGAUGGUAUUCCGGGUUCUCUUUCACACUGGUGUUCCAACUUUCUGGAUGGCCGAAUCCUGACUAGACUCUUUGGAGGAAUGGACCAACCCACCAGGAGUGGCCACAGGAUCAGGUGUCAUCCCUUGGAUCCACCACACCAGAGUCAAGAAGGCAGCAGCUUCCUGUGAUGAGGACACCUGGAAAGCAGUUCGGGACCCCAAAGACCUCCUCAAGGUCAGGUUCCAAAGACAAUGGCCCUCACCCAUGAAGGACGCUGAGCCCUUCUCUAGUCAUUCGGAGGCUGACUAGUCAGUGCACAGCAGAAGCUUGAGGGUUCUUCAGCCUUGCUCCGGCCACAUUCCAGCAGAUGGCUGGUCAAAGCAUGGCAGAAGCUGGAGGAUCCAGCUAUCAAAGUAUCAAUGGAUUUUCAUUGUCAACCCUGGUCUCUAUCCUUAAUCGAAAUUAUUGCUGUGCUUUCCAUUACAGGACCAACAAGACUCCCUGGCUGAGGUGGUUUUAUAGAAUAGGAGAUGUCUAGAUCUACUGACAGCUGAAAAGAGAGGACUACGCCCCUUCUUAAAUGAAGAGUGCUGCUUGUAUGUAAACCAAUCAGAAAUAGUCAGGGACAUGGCCCAACAGCUAAGGGAACCAAUCAUAAAAAGGAGAGAGAAACGAGCUAAUUCCUGGGGUAACUGGAACAAUAUCUGGAGCUGGGCAUCUUGGCUUCUCGAUUUAACAGGGCCUCUCCUCAUGCUCUUUGCAGUGCUCUUGUUGGGCCCUUGUAUUCUCAAUGCAAUUACCCAGUUUAUAACCUCUCAGAUUGAAUCCAUAAAGUUACAAAUGGUAAUAGCUCAAUAUAGCCCCCUAAAUGAUGGGGACCUCUGAAUGUCCUACAAAAACAUGAGAUGAUGCUUUCUACAAUGAAUAAUAGAAGCAUCAAGAGGGGCGAAUGAAGAGGAAAAGUUAAAAUUUUACAUAACCUCCUGCUCCUUCUGCCUCCAUGACUCAGCUUGCUCCUUGCAAGGUCUGGAUCAUGUAGGUCACGUAGUCUCAGAAAGCGCGGACUUACAGUACUAGGAACUGGAGCUUAUCUCACUCACCCUUGCCCUGCUCUUUGCAACUGCCCAGCCCCUGCAAACCUGCUUAAUCAGGCCUGUCCAUGUAAAGGUCAGGCAUUCCCCUUCUCAUCUUGACUGCUGUUCCGUGCGCAAAAACCCCUUAGUUUAAACCAGCCUAUUAGCAGCUAGUCUUGCCCACUAUAGUCUGUCUAUUAAAACUCCACCCUUUGCUCGAGGCUCAGAGCUUGGAGUGUUAACUCCUCUGGGCCCACUGGCAUAAUAAACCUGAGUUCUCCGAC